Molecule: ribosomal RNA, 303 nt
Filed under: uncultured bacterium
Lineage: Bacteria
Description: partial 16S ribosomal RNA
Rfam family: Bacterial small subunit ribosomal RNA
Source: RNAcentral
AGCAGUAGCCACGGUAAUACGAAGGGGGCUAGCGUUGUUCGGAAUCACUGGGCGUAAAGCGCACGUAGGCGGAUUUUUAAGUCAGGGGUGAAAUCCCGAGGCUCAACCUCGGAACUGCCUUUGAUACUGGAGAUCUUGAGUUCGGAAGAGGUUGGUGGAACAGCUAGUGUAGAGGUGAAAUUCGUAGAUAUUAGCUAGAACACCAGUGGCGAAGGCGGCCAACUGGUCCGACACUGACGCUGAGGUGCGAAAGCGUGGGGAGCAAACAGGAUUAGAUACCCGUGUAGUCCCUGUCUCUUAUAC